GGUAAGGUGGCUGAGUUUAGGCUGUAAAUUGUAAAUUUAUAUAGGAUAUUAAAUUAUCUCUUACCA
This 66-nucleotide transfer RNA is filed under the name Ilyocoris cimicoides. RNAcentral's name for it is "tRNA-Tyr". The record is from RNAcentral. Lineage: Eukaryota; Metazoa; Arthropoda; Insecta; Hemiptera; Naucoridae.